This is a non-coding RNA of Phrynosoma platyrhinos (Desert horned lizard), 72 nucleotides long. NCBI's taxonomy places the organism in Eukaryota, Metazoa, Chordata, Lepidosauria, Squamata, Phrynosomatidae. The record is from the annotation of a GenBank genome assembly.
GCCAACGUGGCAUAAUGGUUUGAGCACUGGACUACAACUCUGGAGACCAGGGUUUGAUUCCAAGCUCAGCCA